RNAcentral lists this ribosomal RNA (486 nucleotides) under uncultured bacterium. RNAcentral's name for it is "bacterial SSU rRNA". It matches the Rfam family "Bacterial small subunit ribosomal RNA", at positions 30 to 509 of the family's 1533-position model. The record is from RNAcentral.
AUUGAACGCUGGCGGCAGGCCUAACACAUGCAAGUCGAGCGGAUGAGUGGAGCUUGCUCCAUGAUUCAGCGGCGGACGGGUGAGUAAUGCCUAGGAAUCUGCCUGGUAGUGGGGGACAACGUUUCGAAAGGAACGCUAAUACCGCAUACGUCCUACGGGAGAAAGUGGGGGAUCUUCGGACCUCACGCUAUCAGAUGAGCCUAGGUCGGAUUAGCUAGUUGGUGAGGUAAAGGCUCACCAAGGCGACGAUCCGUAACUGGUCUGAGAGGAUGAUCAGUCACACUGGAACUGAGACACGGUCCAGACUCCUACGGGAGGCAGCAGUGGGGAAUAUUGGACAAUGGGCGAAAGCCUGAUCCAGCCAUGCCGCGUGUGUGAAGAAGGUCUUCGGAUUGUAAAGCACUUUAAGUUGGGAGGAAGGGCAGUAAGUUAAUACCUUGCUGUUUUGACGUUACCAACAGAAUAAGCACCGGCUAACUUCGUGCC